GCCCUACGGGAGGCAGCAGUAGGGAAUCUUCCACAAUGGACGAAAGUCUGAUGGAGCAACGCCGCGUGAGUGAGGAGGGGUUUCGGCUCGUAAAGCUCUGUUGGUAGUGAAGAAAGAUAGAGGGAGUAACUGGCCUUUAUUUGACGGUAAUUACUUAGAAAGUCACGGCUAACUACGUGCCAGCAGCCGCGGUAAUACGUAGGUGGCAAGCGUUGUCCGGGUUUAUUGGGCGUAAAGCGAGUGCAGGCGGUUCUAUUAGGCUGAUGUGGAAGGCCU
Molecule: ribosomal RNA, 276 nt
Filed under: uncultured bacterium
Lineage: Bacteria
Description: partial 16S ribosomal RNA
Rfam family: Bacterial small subunit ribosomal RNA
Source: RNAcentral